GAUGAACGCUAGCUACAGGCUUAACACAUGCAAGUCGAGGGGAAACGAUAUUGGAAGCUUGCUUCCGAUAGGCGUCGACCGGCGCACGGGUGAGUAACGCGUAUCCAACCUGCCCACCACUUGGGGAUAACCUUGCGAAAGUAAGACUAAUACCCAAUGACGUCUCUAGAAGACAUCUGAAAGGGAUUAAAGAUUUAUCGGUGAUGGAUGGGGAUGCGUCUGAUUAGCUUGUUGGCGGGGUAACGGCCCACCAAGGCAACGAUCAGUAGGGGUUCUGAGAGGAAGGUCCCCCACAUUGGAACUGAGACACGGUCCAAACUCCUACGGGAGGCAGCAGUGAGGAAUAUUGGUCAAUGGGCGAGAGCCUGAACCAGCCAAGUAGCGUGCAGGAUGACGGCCCUAUGGGUUGUAAACUGCUUUAUAAGGGAAUAAAGUGAGCCUCGUGAGGCUUUUUGCAUGUACCUUAUGAAUAAGGACCGGCUAAUUCCGUG
RNAcentral lists this ribosomal RNA (491 nucleotides) under uncultured bacterium. RNAcentral describes it as "bacterial SSU rRNA". It matches the Rfam family "Bacterial small subunit ribosomal RNA", at positions 28 to 507 of the family's 1533-position model. The record is from RNAcentral.